RNAcentral lists this non-coding RNA (111 nucleotides) under Desulfohalobium retbaense. RNAcentral's name for it is "TPP sequence". It matches the Rfam family "TPP riboswitch aptamer (THI element)". Rfam says of the family: Vitamin B(1) in its active form thiamin pyrophosphate (TPP) is an essential coenzyme that is synthesised by coupling of pyrimidine and thiazole moieties in bacteria. The previously detected thiamin-regulatory element, thi box was extended, resulting in a new, highly conserved RNA secondary structure, the THI element, which is widely distributed in eubacteria and also occurs in some archaea. The record is from RNAcentral. Lineage: Bacteria; Pseudomonadati; Thermodesulfobacteriota; Desulfovibrionia; Desulfovibrionales; Desulfohalobiaceae. RNAcentral also lists the same sequence under 1 other name.
AUCUUUCGCUAGGGGAGGGGAGUAUAUCCCCUGAGAGUCCCGACACCGAUCGGGAGACCCUUGGAACCUGAACUGGGUAAUACCUGCGCAGGGAAGCGAGUCGACACGUGA